GACCCCAAGUCAGGCGAGACUACCCGCUGAGUUUAAGCAUAUCAAUAAGCGGAGGAGAAGAAACUUACAAGGAUUUCCUUAGUAACGGCGAGUGAACUGGGAAUAGCCCAGCCUUAGAAUCGAAUGGUUUUGCUGUUUGA
RNAcentral lists this ribosomal RNA (140 nucleotides) under Cuscuta chinensis. Its description in RNAcentral is "partial 26S ribosomal RNA". It matches the Rfam family "Eukaryotic large subunit ribosomal RNA", at positions 1 to 141 of the family's 3401-position model. The record is from RNAcentral. Lineage: Eukaryota; Viridiplantae; Streptophyta; Magnoliopsida; Solanales; Convolvulaceae.